GAUCAUGGCUCAGGAUGAACGCUGGCGGCGUGCUUAAUACAUGCAAGUCGAACGAAGCACUUUUGACAGAUCCCCUCGGGGUGAAGAUGAUUGUGACUUAGUGGCGGACGGGUGAGUAACGCGUGGGGAACCUGCCUCGUGCUGGGGGAUAACAGUUAGAAAUGACUGCUAAUACCGCAUAAGCGCACAGUAAGGCAUCUUACAGUGUGAAAAGAUUUAUCGGCACGAGAUGGACCCGCGUCUGAUUAGGUAGUUGGCGGGGUAACGGCCCACCAAGCCCGCGAUCAGUAGCCGACUUGAGAGAGUGAUCGGCCACAUUGGGACUGAGACACGGCCCAGACUCCUACGGGAGGCAGCAGUAGGGAAUAUUGCACAAUGGGGGAAACCCUGAUGCCAGCGACGCCGCGUGAGUGAUGAAGUAUUUCGGUACGUAAAACUCUAUCAGCAGGGAAGAUAAUGACGGUACCUGACUAAGAAGCCCCGGCUAACUACGUGCCAGCCGCCGC
This 506-nucleotide ribosomal RNA is filed under the name uncultured bacterium. RNAcentral's name for it is "bacterial SSU rRNA". It matches the Rfam family "Bacterial small subunit ribosomal RNA", at positions 15 to 518 of the family's 1533-position model. The record is from RNAcentral.